Molecule: ribosomal RNA, 389 nt
Filed under: Gammarus lacustris
Lineage: Eukaryota; Metazoa; Arthropoda; Malacostraca; Amphipoda; Gammaridae
Description: partial large subunit ribosomal RNA
Rfam family: Bacterial large subunit ribosomal RNA (bases 66-389)
Source: RNAcentral
UUUAUUGGUAGCUGGAUGAAGGUUAAACUAGCUUACUCAGUUUGUUGUGUUUUGUAAGAAAUUAAAGUCGAGGUAAGAAUUCUUUGAUGUGCUAGGGGACGAUAAGACCCUAGAAGCUUAACAAUAAGAGUAUUUAUUAAUUAUAAAAAUUAAUUUGUUUUACUGGGGCGGUAAAGGUAUAUGAACUAUUAGCGUAUUGAUAGAUCCUUAAAAUAAAGAUAAAACGGGAAAGUUACUCUAGGGGUAACAGUGCAAUAUUUUUGGAGAGAUCAUAUCGAUAAAAAUGUUUGCAACCUCGAUGUUGAAUUAAGAUGUCUACGUGAAGCAGCAGGUACGUGAGAGGGUUUGUUCAACCUUUAAAUUUUUACAUGAUCUGAGUUCAAACCGGA